ACUCUGAGCUGGCUGGCCACAAUGUUGAUUUGGAGUUAUCUACAAUAUGGUGUUACAAGAUCGUCCAUGAGAAGGGCAGCAUCAGUGCCACAUGUGAUCCAUCAGUUCUAUGCACAAAGACAGGAAAAUCUGCCCCAGGUAAAGGAGGAUGCCGUAAUAUGGUACAGGAUCUCAAGACCUGGGCCUGCGAUUGGCUCCAUACUGAAUACUCAGUACUUCAAGGGGACAAGGAGAAAGUAUUAAUGAGUCAGUCUGGUCUUUGCUUCUAAGUGACUGAUAACUGAGCAGCAUUGGCAGAGAUUCAGCUGCAUCUUACUGGGAGAAAACGUUAAUAAUUGCAAGCUUGUGUUCAGUGAAAGUCACUGAAUAUUAACUGCAACCUUCUUGGUGACCUGAACAAAAAUGUAGCAAAAAAACAAUGAAAAACAUGAUUCUAUCUGCUCACCAGAAUGUAUGGCAAUAAAAAGACAACUGUUCAGGUCAUUGAAGCCCAAAAACACUGCUGACUGAGCUAGCCCCAUCUGUUCAUGUAUUGCUGCUUGUAGAUACAGCAAAGAUUUCACUGGACCCAAUCAAAACCCAUACUUUUGGUAGCUAUAUUUGGAUAUUACAUUGUGCAUAGCCAUGGCUGCAGUUAGCAACUAAUGUUUCUACAGAUAUCACCAAAUCCAAUGCUCCCUCCCACAGUUCUGGGACUUGAGCUCUAACAAUCUGCAUAAUUUUGGGAUUGCUGAUAAUGCCAGUAUGAAACUGAGUAAUGCUUUGCAUCUCUCCAGUUGAUCUGCCUGUUGUUGAAAUGAUGCUGACCAAAUCUGAAUUGUAUGCUUUUCUGCCUAAUGUAUCUGAUUUUAUUUUAUGCACCAUACAAUCUACCCUGUGUUGUGAAAUCCCAAGAGCAA
Molecule: long non-coding RNA, 899 nt
Organism: Rhincodon typus (whale shark)
Lineage: Eukaryota; Metazoa; Chordata; Chondrichthyes; Orectolobiformes; Rhincodontidae
Exons: 3
Source: RefSeq, a predicted model, not a curated record